GGAUCAUUAGCGAUAAAAACAAGACUGUUGCUGGCCUCUUUCAAUGAGAGGCAUGUGCACGUCUUGUCCUUACUCUCUACAUACUACACCUGUGCACCCAUUGUAGGUCGCUUGCAAGAGCGUAUCUAUGUUUCUGUACAUCCUUUUUUAUUACAAGGCCAGAAUGUGAUCUAGAUAGGUCGACCUGAUUUCGGUCGGGAAGACUGUCUAAUGAAACAUGUAUACUAUACAACUUUCAGCAAUGGAUCUCUUGGUUCUCGCAUCGAUGAAGAACGCAGCGAACUGCGAUAAGUAAUGUGAAUUGCAGAUUUUCAGUGAAUCAUCGAAUCUUUGAACGCACCUUGCGCUCCUUGGUACUCCGAGGAGCAUGCCUGUUUGAGUGUCAUUUGAAUUCUCAACCAUGUCUUGAUGAAGUGUCGAGGCAUGGCUUGGAUGAGUGGAGGUUGCUGGCUAACCCAAGUCGGCUCUUCUGAAAAGCAUUAGCAAAGGGAUGACUAGUCUUUGACUUGCAUGAACCUUCUGGCGUGAUAAGUGAUUUGAUCGUCGUCGUUUGUUGAUGCAUACAAAAAGUCUUUGGACGAACAUGUCUUGCUUCUAAUGAGAUAUACAUGCCAUUUAUUGGAGAGGAAGACAUCUGUGCUUUGAAAAAAGUGUGCCAUUGUGAUUAGUUCUUGCCAACUCAUAUUGGGGUUGGUUGGAAUGAAACGCAGUAGGGGGGCGCACUUGUAGUAAAGGAAGUCGGAUUGAUCCUUGAAAAAUGAAUGUCGAGUUGACCAUUUGACCUCAAAUCAGGUAGGACUACCCGCUGAACUUAAGCAUAUCAAUAAGCGGAGGAAAAGAAACUAACAAGGAUUCCCCUAGUAACUGCGAGUGAAGCGGGAAAAGCUCAAAUUUUGAAUCUGGUGGUCCUUGUGGUCAUCCGAAUUGUAAUCUAGAGAAGCGUUUACCGCGCUGGACCGUGUACAAGUCUCCUGGAAGGGAGCGUCAUAGAGGGUGAGAAUCCCGUCUUUGACACGGACUGCCAGGGCUUUUGUGUAGCGCUCUCGACGAGUCGAGUUGUUUGGGAAUGCAGCUCAAAAUGGGUGGUAAAUUCCAUCUAAAGCUAAAUACAGGCGAGAGACCGAUAGCGAACAAGUACCGUGAGGGAAAGAUGAAAAGAACUUUGAAAAGAGAGUUAAACAGUACGUGAAAUUGCUGAAAGGGAAACGCUUGAUGUCAGUCGCGUCAAUGGGGGAUCAACCUUGCAUUCGUGCUGGGCGUAAUUCCUGGUUGACGGGUCAGCAUCAGUUUUGAUUCCAUCGUACAAGGGUGAAGGGAAUGUGGCACUCUUAGGAGUGUGUUAUAGACUUUCAUCGUAUGCGGUGGUCGGGACUGAGGAACGCUGCACAGACUUACU
This 1396-nucleotide ribosomal RNA is filed under the name Tylopilus sp. 1C8. RNAcentral describes it as "eukaryotic LSU rRNA". The stretch from base 779 to 1396 matches the Rfam family "Eukaryotic large subunit ribosomal RNA", at positions 1 to 614 of the family's 3401-position model. The record is from RNAcentral. RNAcentral also lists the same sequence under 1 other name. Lineage: Eukaryota; Fungi; Basidiomycota; Agaricomycetes; Boletales; Boletaceae.